RNAcentral lists this long non-coding RNA (7196 nucleotides) under Mus musculus (house mouse). Its description in RNAcentral is "long non-coding RNA chr16:77610491-77617687". Lineage: Eukaryota; Metazoa; Chordata; Mammalia; Rodentia; Muridae. The record is from RNAcentral.
AAUAAAUAAAAGAAAGGAUUAACUGCCUAAUAAUUAACAGAUACUUUCAAAGGCCUUAGAGUCACAGUAAAGAUGAGAACACAAGUUGUACCAUUAAGUUAGACUUUGAGUUUGAGCUACUUCUCUGUGACAUGGCAUCGUUACAAUCACAGAAUGGUAUGUUUGAGAAAAGAACUUGAAGUACUAGCGGAGCAACUUCAGAGUGGGUUUUCAGCAAGCAUUUGUUGUUCCUGCCCACUCUUUUGACUAAAGAAAAGAGGAAAUGCUGGAGACUCGAUUUCACUGGAGCUUAGAACAUUCACUUUCACCACCCUGAGAAAAUUCAUCAUACUGACCCUACACAUCCAUGGGUCAUUAACAACUGGCAUUCACAGUUACAAAUUAAUUUCCAGGACAUGUCAUUAUGUGAACAUCACCGAGUCUGGGUAAUACAAUGACACAGCCUACAUGUAGGCAAAUGCUUAGUUAUCCAUGAGCUGUGACUAUCCCACAAUACAUGACUGAAGCUUUUUGUUAUAUAAUUAUGUUCUAUGUGUUUUAUGAUCACAUACUCUUUCUGUGUCCACAUGGGAAUCCUUAGUUAACAUGGAGCUGCAGCUCAGUGUCCUCAGAUGAAUAAAUAAAUGAGUGAAUGGUAGUAACCCAUUAUGCUCUAUACUUCUAGUUGUUACUAACAGAAUUGAAAGAUAUAUAUAUAUGUUAUUUCUAUGGGUAGUCAAAAUUAAAUCAUAGAGCAUGAAUUUUUGUCCUUUAUUCCUACUAGAUUUUCAUUAACAUACAGUAUUUUGUUCUGACUCACAUUUAAGACUGUUUUUCUUUAAAUUUGUUAAGUUCUUUUCCUCUCUGUAUUACUUGCUCAAAGAGCUAUGUGUGUGUUUAAAAGGUAAUAUAGUGGAAGGUCACCAAAGUCCAUAAACAUAGGUUUGGGAAUGACACUGCUAGUGCAGAUAUAUCCCAGUGUAGAUAUAUCCCAGUGCAGAGAUAUACCAGUGCAGAUAUAUGCCAGGGCAGAUAUAUGAUAGUAUCAUUUGUAGUUGGAUAGGUAAUGUCUAAACCUUACACUCAAUCCAUGUGUAAUUAGCAGAACAAGACAUCAUUGUGCUCUUGUAGGAUUAAUGAGAUAGGAGCAUUUAAUUUAUGCUAUAAACAAUAUGGAACAAUCAGUAAAAGCCCUUGUGAUAUAGUAAAAAUGAAUAUGAAAAUAUCUGGCUAUUUCACUCAUUUUACAUGUUUUAAAUUUUAUUAGCACAUACUAUUUUUGCAAAAGAAUGGGUUUCAUGGCGAAAUGUUCAUAAAUACACACAGUAUUCUGAGUCAUAUCCAACUCUCCUUCACUCUCUAUUCUAUCCCAGACUCCACCCUUCCACAACCCCUGUCCUUCCCAGAAUCUGUUCCCUGCCCUUUCUUUGAGUGUGUGUGUGCAUGUAUCUGUAUAUCUGUGCACAUACACGUGGGUAUAUGUAUGCUUAUAUCUGUGCACAUACACGUGGGUAUAUGUAUGCUUAAUGCUUUUGAAUCACUUUACUUUCUGUGAAACUUCCAUUCGGUCUUUAAGAUCUGCUUAUUCUCAGUGUUGGCAUUAAAAUGUCGUUAGUAAUGUUGAAGCAACCUGCGCUGGCAUUUCCACUAUUCUGUUUCUUAGUAAAUAUUGCAUCCUUUUGUAUUUUGCCUUAUUUCCUAAAGUAUCACAAAACUGUGCAGGGGACUCUAGCAGUCGCUCACUAAAAUGCUCUCUUUUAGGGCAGGAAAGAUGGUUCUGUGGGUAAGAAUGCUUGCUGCAUAUGCUGGAGGAGGAUAUCCGAGUUCAGAUUUCAACACCCAUUGUCAAGAGAAAGUGACUGCUGCACACAUACCUGAAACUCCAGCACUCUUGGGGUGGAGACAGAGGGAGCACUGGAGUGGAUGACUGCAGGCUGCCUGACUAGUUCCAGGCUAAUGAUCCACUUUGUCUUAAGAGAUAAGGGAGCAUAGUGAUCCAGAAAAAUGCCUAGUGUUCUUCUCUGGCUGCAACUUGAGUUAAUGCAGAUGCGCCCAACUGCAUAUACAUGUGCGCAUACUACACCAAUAUACACACAUUUAUGUAUAUAUAAGUAUAUGUGUGUGUGUGUAAUAGAAUAAUAAUCAUAUUCUCAAUUAAUAACAAAAAUAGCAAAGCUAAGACUCAAACAUUUUGACAAAGUAUUUUUGAAAAUUAUUUCUAGAGUAUCUGCUGACACAACAACCAAUGAGCUACUUAGACAUAGAAAAAUAAAUUUGUCUUGUUGGCUUAGUGUCCAUAAGAUUAACAGAAGGUGGACCCAGAAUAAAAGUUCUUUUAGGAGUAAAGGGAAGUCCCGUAUGAAGUAUCUGAAGACAAACCUAUGAACUCUUAGUCCUACAGCUUAUUUCUGUUGUGCGAGCUCCAGCUUUCUGACUUUAGAUACAAGAUCUCCUUCUGUAGCCCAGGCUUGUUUCACACAUGUGCUCUUCUUGCUCCAGCCUUCCAUAUGCUGCUGUUACUCACAUGAGGUAUGCUGUUCAGCUUCAAAUGUCAUCUCACUUUUGAGAUUUACAUUUAAAACUUUUAAAAUGGUUCCUGAAAUUCCUUGGACAUCUGAGAGUGGUCCCGAGUAGACUGAUAUUUACAGGCCUGGGGAUUCUUUUGACUCUUCAGUGCAGUUGCCUAUCCUGUCUUCCAGUGUUAUCUGCUAUGAGAGGCCAGGCAUGGAUAAAGUAAAAACGCCACAGUGGUUUUGUUGUUGUUGGUUGUUGUUGUUUGUAUCCUUGUUUUCCCUUUGUCAAGUAGAAAAAAAUAACAAGAUGUAAGAUGUUCCACUCUUCAUAGCAUAAUGGAGUGGUCCUUAAUGUGACUAACCCUUGGUUACUUUAAUUUCAUAGUCGUACUUGGUUUUGCUGAUCUUGGUGGACUACAGACUAGCUGUUGGGGUUGUUAGUUCUCUUUCACUGAAAAGGGAGAAGAGACAUGGAGGGAGCAGAAUUAUAAGGAUUAGUAUUUGAUAAGGAACAGAAAUCUUAUUCCAAUUCAAUUUUCCUCUCUUGCAUUGUGAUGUGCUCCUAUGAACAAACUUACCCACUGUCACUCUUAGGCCAGUGUCAGAACCCAUCAUAUACCACAGUCCGGAGAGAAUUUUACCAUUAUUAUUAUUAUUAUUAUUAUUAUUAUUAUUAUUAUUAUUGCACAAUACCUAGGCAUGCCAUGGCCCAGAACAUCAUUAGACUCCUGUGCUUUGUAUGUAAACAGCUUUCUUCCUCAAGCUGUGCUUUAGGAAACCAGUCUUCCUUUACCAAUGAAUAUGUGAACACUUGAAGUGAGAGCACUUCACUGAGUCUUUGAUUUCUCUGGCUCCAGGAAAAGAGAUAAACGUAUAUAGACUGAGAUGCUCCAGUGUCAGAUUAUAAGAAUCUGAAUCUCUUACUGUGACCCAGACCUUUGAUUGUCUGUUGUUUGCCCCAUCCAUAGAAUGAUGGCAACAUCGAAAGUUCCUGAAAAAGAGUUACGUAUUAUAAACUUAGAACAGGGUGUGACUAGUACCAGUGAUCCAAAGGCAGUGGCUAUAAUCAUUAUGGCUAUUUCUUAUUUGUGAAAAUUAAGUGAAAUAUCUGACUUGAAGUGCUUGGGAGGGCUCGCAUUUCUCUUUAUAUAUAAGAAAUCCACUCCUCCUUUAAAAUCAAAGUUAAGGGCUUCAGUAUUAAGUUCUUCAUUCAUUAAAUGCCUUCAGAACUGAUUUCUUUUUUCACUGGAUGAGUUUUCAUCACUAGUUUUUUUCACAAAAAGCAUCUUGACCAUUUGGAAAUUGAACAUAUCCCCUUGUGUCAUUGAUACCAACAUUGAGAGCAUACAUAAAUUUAAUUUAAAAGUUUAUCUCAGUCUUGAUUCUCCCUUGAAAUUUUCCUAUAGGAUGAUACAUAGAUGGCUUCCUGUACUUACUGUAGUCAUUUGGAGUAGAUUCAGACCCAGGUUAAUGUGGUCUUUGGUAAACAUCAAGAAGAUGAUUUUUUUUCAUUGAUUUUAUCAUAUAGAUCUACCAUGGUAUAAGAGUCUUCUCUUUCUGCUAAAUCUAGACACUACCUGUGACAAAAUCUCUUAAAGCCAUAUCCUUCCACUUUAUGGGCAACAGAGGUCUUACCCUCCCAAGAGAGUAGGAAACCUGUGUUAGCAAUUGCCAGUGAGAAUGAAAAUCUCUCCCUACAAGUUUAUCUCAUAUGAGCAUUAAUAUUCUCCAUAUGACUAUCUUUUAUAGUAUUUCAUUUUCCAAAUAUAUUUUCAAAACACAAGUUAUAUUAUUGUCCAUUACCAACCACUAAUGGAGAAUUUUAUGACUAACUUUCAAACCAGGAAUGAUUAUUUUUUAUGGGAAGAUACAUUUGCAAACCUAGAUAUGGUAGCAUUUAAAUGGCCACUUAUUUCUGGUAGAAAACUAGCCUGAUAAUAGCCUAAAACUCAGAUUUCCAUUCCAUGGUAACAUUAUCUUCAGGCCCAGAUGGAUGUCCUUUGCACUUAAAGAGCAUAAGCAAAACCAAUUUGAUGGAAAUAGGUUCUUUCUUAUCAUUAGGAAAUUUAGAAAUGGACAAAUACUGACUUGCAUAUUAAAUCUAUGAUCCAAGGCUAGGUCCAUUCCCCCAGUAGUCUGUUUGUUUUGUCUUUUCAAGAAGUCUGAAAAAAACACACAUCUCUACUAGAUGUUCCUUUGCUCAGGAAUGGUGGGCCCAGGGUGCUGUAGGUGCAACUGAGCAAUAAGAGCUCUUGUCUGUGCAUGACGAACACUGGGGGAUUCUGCCUUCACUCGCCUUUUCUCUUCUGCCCAUGAGCCUUUCAUGUUAUGCAUAUUUUCAGUCUAAAUUUCUAAAAAACAAAGACAACAAAACAAAACAAAACAAAAACCAAUAGAACUCUUAAAAUAAGACCAUUGUUGUUGUUUCUUAGUUUUAUGCACUACAUGAGCUGGGGGAAUCUAUUAAACAGUUUUCAAUCCUUUCUUUCUUUAUUAAUGUUUCUACGGUCUGUUUCCAACAUUGCUGAGGAGAGCUGUAAUAUAAACAAUGAUUCAGUGACAGAAUUUACAUAGUACUUACAGUGUAAAUAUUGCCGGAGAAUUUAUAUAGUACUUAUAGUGUAAAUACUGCUGGAGAGAGAUUUCUUAGUCUAAAAUACGUAUCCUAAAACCAAGGUGAUAGGUUGUGAAGAGGUUUUUUGGGGGUUUUUGUUGUUGGUUUUUGUUUUUGUUUUUGUUUUUACUUCUAAGAUGUACUUAUACUGACUUAUGUAAGUCAAAAUAAGUCAAGGACCCUCAAGUGUUUAUUUUAUAGCUAAUCUCCACUGCAUGAUUCUCCAAAAUCCAUAUCCAUUUGUUUGAAGUACAAAGGAUAGGAUGAAGAAAGAAAGCAAUUAUUAAAUAAAAUAGAGGUUAAAUGAUCUGCCCGAAACCCAGAACUGGCUGCUGACUACACCAAGAACCAGGAGAAUCAAACCACACUGGAUUCACCGUUCCUAAAGAGCUCAGGACUUCAACAUGACGUUUUGCAGAGCAUGGCCCAAUAUCUAUAUUAAUCAAUGUAAAAUAACUUUUACAUUAUUCAGGAAUUUAACUCAUAUAGGUCUAUAAAUGCUCAUAUGCCAUGGAAUGGGUGGUGACAAACCACCAGUAAUAUAACAUGACAAAUAUUUAUUUAAUUGCUAAUUCAUUACAAAUAAUCGUGGGUAGAAUUUUCAGUUUUGUUUUGUUUUGUUUUACUUUAAGGAAGUCACACAGUUCCAAUAAUUUGUGGUAAAUGAAACCACAACCUGGUCAAGUACUUUCAGAUUUUAAAAUUAAGAUUUAGUAAUAUGAAUACUCCUGAGAGUCAGUUUUUCCUUGUCAAAAGCAUAUGAAUGACAAACAUGAUUAGUGAAUGUAGAUGAAUUUCGCAAACAUAGAGGCAAAUAAAAGACUUCCUAAAUGAAAGAGAACCAGUUGAGUGCAAUCACUUUUCUAUGUUUAUGGCUACAGAUUACAAGAUCUUCCUGAAUGAUCCUUGGAAGUCUUUUAAGGCAGGAAAACUUUAAAAGACCCCUCACACAUGUUGCACCAUGCCUUGUGUAAAGGCUUCCCUUCCUGCUCCAUUCUUGAAACACUUAUCUGACUCACAUCAAAAGUCUCCGAUAUGCUUGACCCAGUAUGGUGUGUACACAUGGAUGUCUACCCAACCAUCUUUUCUACUAGACUCUUGACUUGGAGAGAGUAGAAGAAGUAGGUGUCCAGAUAUCUGGGGUGUUUUACACUAAGAAAUCAAGUCCCGCUGCAUAAAGAUAUUGGAAUGUCAAUGAAAUUCAAAGAAAUUCUUUAUGACUUAUACACACCAGAUCUCAUGCAUGGCUUUUUACGACUUUUUCUUUCACUCAAGUGACAAAUACAAGCAGAAACUCCAGCAGACUUAACAGUAUGAAUGGCAGACAGAGGACAUGAAACCCAUCCAUCCCUCCACUUGCUCUUUCAUUCAACAGAUUUAUCGUGAGAGAAUCUUCAUGUGUCAGACAUUCUGUCAGACCUGAGGAUCUAAAGAUGAAUAUGAUAGAUCCCCUGAAGCUCUGCCUCGUCAGAGAUAGACUAUAAACAGUAAUUAUAACACAAUGUGAUAAGGGCUUUGACAGAACAAUGCACCCUCUGCUGUGCGAUUUCUAAAGCAGGAAUAAAUGACUCUGCACACCAAAUUACUCCGUUUAAUUUUAAUACACCUUUAAUAUUCUUUCUUAUCUGAUUGUUUAGUAUGUAACUACCUUAAUUCAGAACAAAAAAGUAGGAAAGGGCCUAUGCAAAGUAAUGGGAGUUUAAAUAUUACAGUUCUAUUUCUAAACUAAUUAGUGUUCAUCAUUGUUCAUGUUAUACAUAGUUUGAAUCUCAAACAGAAAUCUAUAUAAAGUCUAAGCCAGAAAAGCUUUGCAUGACUUGCCUAGCAAACUCAUUAAUGGUGUCAUUUAUUUAGCUUUGAAAUUCAAAGAGAAUUCUUAAAAGAGAAUUACUCUAGUAGGCACCUUACAAGAAGAGGCAUGUGAGGGUAGGGGCAUAUUAUGUCAUGAAAACCGUUCAGAGUAAGUUAGAGACACAAAGACUGCUCUAGAAUGAAGGUGGGUGCCUGAGCUUGGAGCAGAAGUUCAUCUCCUGCUUUGUUGUUGUUUAUUAAUUAUUAUUACUAAAUAUUUUAUUAAAAAACUGACUGGA